This 73-nucleotide transfer RNA is filed under the name Thalassospira xiamenensis. RNAcentral's name for it is "tRNA_Met_CAT". It matches the Rfam family "tRNA". From Rfam's summary of the family: Transfer RNA (tRNA) molecules are approximately 80 nucleotides in length. Their secondary structure includes four short double-helical elements and three loops (D, anti-codon, and T loops). The record is from RNAcentral. Lineage: Bacteria; Pseudomonadati; Pseudomonadota; Alphaproteobacteria; Rhodospirillales; Thalassospiraceae.
GGCGGGAUGGCGCAGUUGGUAGCGCGCAGGGUUCAUAACCCUGAGGUCGAAAGUUCAAGUCUUUCUCCCGCAA